RNAcentral lists this ribosomal RNA (77 nucleotides) under Staphylococcus epidermidis. RNAcentral's name for it is "partial 16S ribosomal RNA". It matches the Rfam family "Bacterial small subunit ribosomal RNA", at positions 1 to 77 of the family's 1533-position model. Lineage: Bacteria; Bacillati; Bacillota; Bacilli; Caryophanales; Staphylococcaceae. RNAcentral also lists the same sequence under 4 other names. The record is from RNAcentral.
UUUAUGGAGAGUUUGAUCCUGGCUCAGGAUGAACGCUGGCGGCGUGCCUAAUACAUGCAAGUCGAGCGAACAGACGA